RNAcentral lists this ribosomal RNA (408 nucleotides) under uncultured bacterium. RNAcentral's name for it is "bacterial SSU rRNA". It matches the Rfam family "Bacterial small subunit ribosomal RNA", at positions 355 to 775 of the family's 1533-position model. The record is from RNAcentral.
UGGGGAAUAUUGCACAAUGGGGGAAACCCUGAUGCAGCGACGCCGCGUGAGGGAAGAAGGUAUUCGUAUUGUAAACCUCUGUCUUUCGGGGACGAUAAUGACGGUACCCGAGGAGGAAGCACCGGCUAACUACGUGCCAGCAGCCGCGGUAAAACGUAGGGUGCUAGCGUUGUCCGGAAUUACUGGGUGUAAAGGGAGCGCAGGCGGUCCUUUAAAGUUGGAAGUUAAAUCUACGGGCUCAACCCGUAUUCGCUUUCAAAACUGAAGGACUUGAGUGAAGUAGAGGUAGGCGGAAUUUCCGGUGUAGCGGUGGAAUGCGUAGAUAUCGGAAGGAACACCAGUGGCGAAGGCGGCCUACUGGGGCUUUUACUGAACGCUGAGGCUCGAAAAGCAAUGGGUAGCAAAACA